GACGAACGCUGGCGGCGUGCUUAACACAUGCAAGUCGUACGGUAAUUCCCUGUCGGGUGUUCACGAGUGGCGAACGGUUGAGUAACACGUCGGUAACCUGCCUACAACUUUGGGAUAACGCUUGUCAACUGGUGCUAAUGCUGGGUAUGUGUUCCUGCUGCCUGGUGGUGUUUGGAAAUCUCCUGCGGUUGUGGAUGGACUCGCGGCCUUUCAGCUUGUUGGUGGGGUAGUUGCCUACCAAGGUGGCGACGGGGAGCCGGCCUGAUAGGGUGACCGGCCACAUUGGGACGGAGAUAAGGCCCAGAAGACUCCGGGAGGCAGCAGUGGGGAAGAUUGCACAAUGGGCGCGAGCACGAUGAAGCAGCGCCGCGGGCGGGAGGACGGCGUUCGGGUUGUAGAAAGCUUUCAGCAGGGGCGACGCUUUUUGUGACGGUACCUGAAGAAGAAGCACCGGCUAACUACGUG
This 465-nucleotide ribosomal RNA is filed under the name uncultured bacterium. RNAcentral describes it as "partial 16S ribosomal RNA". It matches the Rfam family "Bacterial small subunit ribosomal RNA", at positions 28 to 507 of the family's 1533-position model. The record is from RNAcentral.